RNAcentral lists this ribosomal RNA (376 nucleotides) under uncultured bacterium. RNAcentral describes it as "bacterial SSU rRNA". It matches the Rfam family "Bacterial small subunit ribosomal RNA", at positions 521 to 896 of the family's 1533-position model. The record is from RNAcentral.
UAAUACGUAGGGUGCAGGCGUUAAUCGGAAUUACUGGGCGUAAAGCGUGCGCAGGUGGUUUCUUAAGUCAGAUGUGAAAGCCCCGGGCUUAACCUGGGAACUGCGUUUGAAACUGGGAGACUUGAGUGUGGCAGAGGGGGGUGGAAUUCCACGUGUAGCAGUGAAAUGCGUAGAUAUGUGGAGGAACACCGAUGGCGAAGGCAGCCCCCUGGGUUAACACUGACGCUCAUGCACGAAAGCGUGGGGAGCAAACAGGAUUAGAUACCCUGGUAGUCCACGCCCUAAACUAUGUCAACUGGUUGUCGGGGGAUUGAUUCCCUUGGUAACGAAGCUAACGCGUGAAGUUGGCCGCCUGGGGAGUACGGCCGCAAGGUUA